CCUACGGGGGGCAGCAGUGAGGAAUAUUGGUCAAUGGUCGGGAGACUGAACCAGCCAAGCCGCGUGAGGGAGGAAGGUACAGAGUAUCGUAAACCUCUUUUGUCAGGGAACAAAGGCGGGGACGUGUCCCCGGAUGAGUGUACCUGAAGAAAAAGCAUCGGCUAACUCCGUGCCAGCAGCCGCGGUAAUACGGAGGAUGCGAGCGUUAUCCGGAUUUAUUGGGUUUAAAGGGUGCGCAGGCGGUCUGUUAAGUCAGCGGGCAAAGCCCGGGGCUCAACCCCGGCCCGCCGUUGAGACUGGCAGUCUCGAGUUGGAGAGAAGUAUGCGGAAUGCGCGGUGUAGCGGUGAAAUGCAUAGAUAUCGCGCAGAACUCCGAUUGCGAAGGCAGCAUGCCGGCUCCACACUGACGCUGAGGCACGAAAGCGUGGGUAUCGAACAGGAUUAGAUACCCUUGUAGUC
This 459-nucleotide ribosomal RNA is filed under the name uncultured bacterium. RNAcentral's name for it is "partial 16S ribosomal RNA". It matches the Rfam family "Bacterial small subunit ribosomal RNA", at positions 338 to 795 of the family's 1533-position model. The record is from RNAcentral.